AGCGAACGUUUGCGGCGGGCCUAACACAUGCAAGUCGAACGGGUUGGCAACAACCAGUGGCGCACGGGUGCGUAACACGUAGGUAAUCAACCCCUUGGUUUGGGAUAACGCUCCGAAAGGAACGCUAAUACCGGAUCCGUCGUCGGGAGCUUCGGCUUCUGGCGAGAAAGACCCGCAAGGGUUGCCGAGGGACGAGCCUGCGGCCCAUCAGCUAGUUGGUGAGGUAAAACGCUCACAAAGGCGAAGACGGGUAGCUGGUCUGAGAGGAUGAUCAGUCACACUGGAACUGAGACACGGUCCAGACUCCUACGGGAGGCAGCAGUGGGGAAUAUUGCGCAAUGGGCGAAAGCCUGACGCAGCCACGCCGCGUGAGCGAUGAAGGCCUUCGGGUCGUAAAGCUCUGUGGGUAGAGAAGAAGAAAGCUUGUGAAGAGCAGGCCUUGACGGUAUCUCCUUAGCAAGCACCGGCUAACUCCGUGCCAGCAGCCGCGGUAAUACGGAGGGUGCGAACGUUGCUCGGAAUUAUUGGGCGUAAAGCGCGCGUAGGCGGCGGCAUAAGCGGAAUGUGAAAGCCCAGGGCUCAACCCUGGAAGUGCAUCCCGAACUGUGUCGCUUGAAUCUCGGAGGGGGACAGAGAAUUCCCGGGUGUAGAGGUGAAAUUCGUAGAUAUCGGGAGGAAUACCAGUGGCGAAGGCGCUGUCCUGGACGAAGAUUGACGCUGAGGUGCGAAAAGCGUGGGGGAGCAAACAGGAUUAGAUA
RNAcentral lists this ribosomal RNA (758 nucleotides) under uncultured bacterium. RNAcentral describes it as "bacterial SSU rRNA". It matches the Rfam family "Bacterial small subunit ribosomal RNA", at positions 28 to 784 of the family's 1533-position model. The record is from RNAcentral.